UCGAGAAUUUUUCACAAUGGGCGCAAGCCUGAUGGAGCGACGCCGCGUGGGGGAUGAAUGGCUUCGGCCCGUAAACCCCUGUCAUUUGCGAACAACCGUUAUUAUUUCAAAGAUGAUAACCUGAUAGUAGCGAAAGAGGAAGGGCCGGCUAACUCUGUGCCAGCAGCCGCGGUAAUACAGAGGUCCCAAGCGUUGUUCGGAUUCACUGGGCGUAAAGGGUGCGUAGGUGGCGGGGUAAGUCGGAUGUGAAAUCGCGGGGCUCAACUCCG
Molecule: ribosomal RNA, 269 nt
Filed under: uncultured prokaryote
Description: partial 16S ribosomal RNA
Rfam family: Bacterial small subunit ribosomal RNA
Source: RNAcentral